AUACGUAGGGUGCGAGCGUUGUCCGGAAUUAUUGGGCGUAAAGGGCUCGUAGGCGGUUUGUCGCGUCGGGAGUGAAAACACCGGGCUUAACUCGGUGCUUGCUUUCGAUACGGGCAGACUAGAGGUAUGCAGGGGAGAACGGAAUUCCUGGUGUAGCGGUGAAAUGCGCAGAUAUCAGGAGGAACACCGGUGGCGAAGGCGGUUCUCUGGGCAUUACCUGACGCUGAGGAGCGAAAGUGUGGGGAGCGAACAGGAUUAGAUACCCUGGUAGUCCACACCGUAAACGUUGGGCGCUAGGUGUGGGGCCUAUUCCAUGGGUUCCGUGCCGCAGCUAACGCAUUAAGCGCCCCGCCUGGGGAGUACGGCCGCAAGGCUAAA
This 378-nucleotide ribosomal RNA is filed under the name uncultured bacterium. RNAcentral's name for it is "bacterial SSU rRNA". It matches the Rfam family "Bacterial small subunit ribosomal RNA", at positions 523 to 898 of the family's 1533-position model. The record is from RNAcentral.